This 85-nucleotide non-coding RNA is filed under the name Dokdonella koreensis DS-123. RNAcentral's name for it is "sRNA-Xcc1". It matches the Rfam family "sRNA-Xcc1". The record is from Rfam by way of RNAcentral. Lineage: Bacteria; Pseudomonadati; Pseudomonadota; Gammaproteobacteria; Lysobacterales; Rhodanobacteraceae.
GCCGGGAGGGCGGCCAAUACAACACCCUGCGAAGGGAAAUACGCCCACCGUCUUUACGCGGUUUCUAACCUCCCGGCAUCCCGGC